UACAGAGGUGGCAAGCGUUGUUCGGAAUUACUGGGCGUAAAGGGCGCGUAGGCGGCCUUCUAAGUCGGACGUGAAAGCCCCAGGCUUAACCUGGGAACUGCGUCUGAUACUGGAAGGCUUGGAUUCGGGAGAGGGAUGUGGAAUUCCAGGUGUAGCGGUGAAAUGCGUAGAUAUCUGGAGGAACACCGGUGGCGAAGGCGGCAUCCUGGACCUGUACUGACGCUCAUGCACGAAAGCGUGGGGAGCAAACAGGAUUAGAAACCCUGGUAGU
Molecule: ribosomal RNA, 271 nt
Filed under: uncultured bacterium
Lineage: Bacteria
Description: partial 16S ribosomal RNA
Rfam family: Bacterial small subunit ribosomal RNA
Source: RNAcentral